Long non-coding RNA from Lactuca sativa (garden lettuce), 907 nucleotides. RefSeq lists it as uncharacterized. NCBI's taxonomy places the organism in Eukaryota, Viridiplantae, Streptophyta, Magnoliopsida, Asterales, Asteraceae. The record is from RefSeq and is a predicted model, not a curated record.
AAUAAAAAUAAGGGCUCUCCAAAUUAUCUCUAAGUUACAGUCUGAAGAUAUAUUCUCCUGAAUACUCAUAUUAUAAAAGCUUUUGAGGUAGUGGCGCUUGAGCAUAGAUGUGAUGUUUUGGAUGAGGGAUUACGGAUAUAAGCAUGUAGAUAUGAAAUAAUGUUAUAUGGCAGACUUGUUGGAUCUGGUACUUACACACAAGGCUGGAAAAUCCUCAUAUUUUUAUCAGAUAAGUUUUUCUUUAGAUUUUUUACUCUUUUACAGAGGUGGGGCAGACAGCAGGGCCAACGUUCCUUGUAUGGCAUGGAGCGGGGCUUCUACGACCUCAUUCAUGAAGGUCCAGCAGACAGGGCUCUCCCUGUCAAGGUCCAACCGAUCAAACGUCUCGGUGAGCAGGCCAGAGCAUCCACGAGUUAGAGUUUGGAUGUUGGUGACACCAAAAGGUCACUUCCGCACAAUUUCAAUGGUUGGACAAGGACUACGGCUGGACAUGUAGGAUCAUCGACAGCCUCCAGGAGGAUCUCACCACCGCCCGAGCAAAAACCAAAGAGUACCAGGAGAGACACGCGGCCCUCGAACAGAGCGUGAUCGAGGCUGAGCGGCGAUUAGAGGAGAUGCAUGCCUUCAUGGCUUCAUUCCAUGGCCCAUAGGAGACCACACGCCGUGAGUAGGGAUUAUACUACUCACAAUUUGUUAUAGAUUAAGAUUUACGAGUAAGUGUUGGUUCUACUCUUUCCUGUAUGUAGGUUCGACCCUACAAAUAAGUGAUUACACUAUUCAAGGGGUCGUUAUGCUGUAAAAAAUUUCUUUCUUUAUUUGAUGUAUUAUAGACCUUCAUAAAGGUCAAUUUUCCCAAAACUAUGUACUAAUAUACGUUAUCAAUGAAAUUGGCGUGCAUUUUAUUUCA